AUAAGAUUUUAAUUGAAUGCUAAGAGAAUGGAAGUCCAGAAAAAAACUUUUUUUAAAUUAAAAAUUGAAGUUUUUUUAAUUUGUGCAGAAACAAUUAUUUAUAUUAAAGACAAGAAGACCCUAUGAAUUUAUUAAAUUUUUAUUUAAUAUGUAAUUACUAUUAGAAAAAUUUUGGCUGGGGCGGUUAGAAAAUAUUAUGAACUUUUUAAAAAUAAAAUGAUCCAUUAUUAAUGAUUUUAUGUUAAAUACUCUAGGGAUAACAGCGUUAUAUUUUUUGAUAGAUCAUAUUGACAAAAAAGUUUGCGACCUCGAUGUUGGAUUAGGAUACUUUUUUAAUGAAGAUAUUAAAAAAAGAAGUU
This 359-nucleotide ribosomal RNA is filed under the name Rhipicephalus sanguineus (brown dog tick). RNAcentral's name for it is "partial 16S ribosomal RNA". The record is from RNAcentral. Lineage: Eukaryota; Metazoa; Arthropoda; Arachnida; Ixodida; Ixodidae.